This 403-nucleotide ribosomal RNA is filed under the name uncultured Comamonas sp. RNAcentral's name for it is "bacterial SSU rRNA". It matches the Rfam family "Bacterial small subunit ribosomal RNA", at positions 94 to 491 of the family's 1533-position model. The record is from RNAcentral. Lineage: Bacteria; Pseudomonadati; Pseudomonadota; Betaproteobacteria; Burkholderiales; Comamonadaceae.
AGUGGCGAACGGGUGAGUAAAGCAUCGGAACGUGCCCGGUAGUGCGGGAUAGCUCGGCAAAAGCCGGAUUAAUACCGCAUGAGAUCCGAGGAUGAAAGCAGGGGACCCGCAAGGGCCUUGCGCUACUGGAGCGGCCGAUGUCAGAUUAGGUAGUUGGUGAGGUAAAGGCUCACCAAGCCUGCGAUCUGUAGCUGGUCUGAGAGGAUGAUCAGCCACAUCGGGACUGAGACACGGCCCGAACUCCUACGGGAGGCAGCAGUGGGGAAUUUUGGACAAUGGGCGCAAGCCUGAUCCAGCCAUGCCGCGUGCAGGAUGAAGGCCUUCGGGUUGUAAACUGCUUUUGUACGGAACGAAAAGCCUCUCUUUAAGAACAUGGGGAGAUGACGGUACCGUAAGAAUAAGC